CGGCGGUGGCGGCGGUGGCGGCGGUGGCGGCGACGGUGGCGGUGGUGGAGGUGGAGGCGGCGGUGGAGGCGGCGGUGGAGGCGGUGGCGGAGGCGGAGGCGGUGAUGGCGGCGGUGAUGGAGGUGGCGGUGGCGGAGGCGGAGGCGGUGAUGGCGGCGGUGAUGGCGGUGGCGGUGGCGGAGGUGAUGGCGGGAGAGGUGAUGGUGGGGCGUUCGGUAACGGAAGAGGAAGAGUUGAGGCUUGAGAAAUCGGGCAGCACUCGCACGUAGUGUCGAAAAUAGCUGCUGCACAGAAGCCCGACGGGUAGCCUGGCGGCGGAGUGCAGAGCUGCUCCAGGGUGGUGCAGCCCUUGCCAAGCCUGUUGUUCUUAAGGAUGAUG
RNAcentral lists this long non-coding RNA (379 nucleotides) under Volvox carteri. RNAcentral's name for it is "long non-coding RNA (VCAR_LNC000972)". The record is from RNAcentral. Lineage: Eukaryota; Viridiplantae; Chlorophyta; Chlorophyceae; Chlamydomonadales; Volvocaceae.